RNAcentral lists this non-coding RNA (24 nucleotides) under Arabidopsis thaliana (thale cress). Lineage: Eukaryota; Viridiplantae; Streptophyta; Magnoliopsida; Brassicales; Brassicaceae. The record is from RNAcentral.
CUGUGCUAGAGAAGGAAGCAUGUG